AACGAACGCUGGCGGCAUGCCUAACACAUGCAAGUCGAACGAGACCUUCGGGUCUAGUGGCGCACUGGUGCGUAACGCGUGGGAACCUGCCCUUAGGUUCGGAAUAACUCCCCGAAAGGGGUGCUAAUACCGGAUAAUGUCUUCGGACCAAAGAUUUAUCGCCUUUGGAUGGGCCCGCGUUGGAUUAGCUAGUUGGGAGGGUAAAAGCCUACCAAGGCGACGAUCCAUAGCUGGUCUGAGAGGAUGAUCAGCCACACUGGGACUGAGACACGGCCCAGACUCCUACGGGAGGCAGCAGUGGGGAAUAUUGGACAAUGGGCGAAAGCCUGAUCCAGCAAUGCCGCGUGAGUGAUGAAGGCCUUAGGGUUGUAAAGCUCUUUUACCCGGGAUGAUAAUGACAGUACCGGGAGAAUAAGCUCCGGCUAACUCCGUG
Molecule: ribosomal RNA, 433 nt
Filed under: uncultured bacterium
Lineage: Bacteria
Description: partial 16S ribosomal RNA
Rfam family: Bacterial small subunit ribosomal RNA
Source: RNAcentral